This 209-nucleotide long non-coding RNA is filed under the name Panax ginseng (ginseng). Its description in RNAcentral is "long non-coding RNA (PGIN_LNC000752)". Lineage: Eukaryota; Viridiplantae; Streptophyta; Magnoliopsida; Apiales; Araliaceae. The record is from RNAcentral.
GAAAGUAACCCUAAAUAUAUUAAAUGUGAUUUGUGCUUAUACGAUUCUGUGUUAUGUACUAAUCAACAUAUGUGUUAUUGUAGGAUGUCGAUCGAUAGCUUGAUGUAUAGAGAUAUACACGCGGUGAGCGAAGAGCUUGUGAACCAAGUAGAGCCUGUACCUAUGCCGGUGGCGGAGGUACCAAUAGUGAUUCUAGAGGAGUCGGAGGC